GUUUUUAUAGUUUAAAAUAAAACAUUGGUCUUGUAAAUCAAAAAUAAGAUUAUCAACUUUAAAAACU
Molecule: transfer RNA, 67 nt
Filed under: Amerila alberti
Lineage: Eukaryota; Metazoa; Arthropoda; Insecta; Lepidoptera; Erebidae
Description: tRNA-Thr
Rfam family: tRNA
About the family: Transfer RNA (tRNA) molecules are approximately 80 nucleotides in length. Their secondary structure includes four short double-helical elements and three loops (D, anti-codon, and T loops). Further hydrogen bonds mediate the characteristic L-shaped molecular structure. tRNAs have two regions of fundamental functional importance: the anti-codon, which is responsible for specific mRNA codon recognition, and the 3' end, to which the tRNAs corresponding amino acid is attached (by aminoacyl-tRNA synthetases). tRNAs cope with the degeneracy of the genetic code in two manners: having more than one tRNA (with a specific anti-codon) for a particular amino acid; and 'wobble' base-pairing, i.e. permitting non-standard base-pairing at the 3rd anti-codon position.
Source: RNAcentral